This 785-nucleotide small RNA is filed under the name Histoplasma capsulatum var. duboisii H88. Its description in RNAcentral is "Histoplasma capsulatum H88 hypothetical RNA". The record is from RNAcentral. Lineage: Eukaryota; Fungi; Ascomycota; Eurotiomycetes; Onygenales; Ajellomycetaceae.
CGCUAUUUGAAACCUGAGCACUGCCCCUCUGAUAUAUUCAAGCGUUCUCUUCCUUAUAAAUACUGCCUAGUUAUCACGUAAUUAUCAGAGUCAGAAUCGCCAAUUCAAUUAUCUAUCGAUAUUCAGAUUUUGGGUCAAUAUUCGGACAUUAUCCAGUUCCGACAACCUCUCUACCUGCUCGAUAUCCGAUUGAUUGCUGGAAAAUGCUAGCUGUCUACCUGCCUACCUACCUAUCUAUCUGCUCAAUAUCCAAUCAAUCUCUACGAGAAUAAACGUCGCCAUCUAGCCACUCAUCUAUCGAUCAAUACUAGCUUACUAGCUGACUACUGACUAUCUGACUCUCUAUAUAUUGACCUUGAAUGAAUGAUAUCCACUGAUGAUAUCCAGCGAUGAUAUCUGUGAUGAUAAAAUAAAAUACAAUAAAAUAGAUAAGUUUUUUAUCUUUUUAAAAUAGCAAUGAAUUCUCUACAGUAGUCGCAAUGAUAUUUUCUUCAAAUAGUUACUUUUGUAUAUAAAGAGCUGUUGUUGGUCAGAGCUGGCUGGCUGUAUAGAAGUCAUUCCGUGCAACCAGUGCCCAACUGUUGGAGGAAUUGGAUUUAGUGAUUCGUCCCCUCUAGUUAUACCACCAGGGCUCUGGUGGUGAUUAAGCUCUUUGGCCCCAGUGGCCUAACACCAGCAAUACAUAUAACAAACAUAGCAUUGUGGUGAGACGCAUGGGAGAAGCGAAGGCAGGUGUAAUACCUAUUAUUUAGCCGUUUUAUUAUAUUCUAAAAUAUAAAAACCCA